Molecule: unclassified non-coding RNA, 24 nt
Filed under: Mus musculus (house mouse)
Lineage: Eukaryota; Metazoa; Chordata; Mammalia; Rodentia; Muridae
Description: oocyte_clustered_small_RNA7124
Source: RNAcentral
UGGUGAAUGAGACUGGGAAAGGAC